This 449-nucleotide ribosomal RNA is filed under the name uncultured bacterium. RNAcentral's name for it is "bacterial SSU rRNA". It matches the Rfam family "Bacterial small subunit ribosomal RNA", at positions 354 to 796 of the family's 1533-position model. The record is from RNAcentral.
GUGGGGAAUAUUGGACAAUGGGCGAAAGCCUGAUCCAGCGACGCCGCGUGGGUGAUGAAGGCCUUCGGGUUGUAAAGCCCUGUCGGUUGGAAAGAAUGAUGAUCACCUAACACGUGAUCAGAUGACGGUACCAGCAAAGGAAGCACCGGCUAACUCUGUGCCAGCAGCCGCGGUAAGACAGAGGGUGCAAGCGUUGUUCGGAAUCACUGGGCGUAAAGGGCGCGUAGGCGGUUGGGUGUGUCUGAUGUGAAAGCCCUCGGCUUAACCGGGGAAUGGCAUCGGAAACUACCUGACUGGAGUGCGAGAGAGGGUGGCGGAAUUCCUAGUGUAGAGGUGAAAUUCGUAGAUACUAGGAGGAACACCGGAGGCGAAGGCGGCCACCUGGCUCGUAACUGACGCUAAGGCGCGAAAGCGUGGGUAGCAAACAGGAUUAGAAACCCCUGUAGUCC